This 890-nucleotide long non-coding RNA is filed under the name Nicotiana tabacum (common tobacco). Its description in RNAcentral is "long non-coding RNA (NTAB_LNC002882)". The record is from RNAcentral. Lineage: Eukaryota; Viridiplantae; Streptophyta; Magnoliopsida; Solanales; Solanaceae.
AAUUCCAAGAAAUCCAGUCUUCAGAAAUAUUGCCUCCCACUGUCAGUCUCACUUGUAUUUGAAAAUCCAAUACCAUUCGCUUCGGUUCUAGCCACUUCGAAAAUGAAAACCAGUGCUGUUUAGACACAAGCCAGAGGAACCGUUGAGCUUCCUGUUUCGAGUUCCUGAAAAUUCAGAAAACAUGUAUAAUGUCAGCAGAAUGAAUUUCGAGUUCCUGAAAAAUCAGAAAACACGUAUAAUGUCAUCAGAAUGAAAAGCUCCUUUGUUCUAAAGGUAAUUAUUAAGAUGUUAAAAGUAUGCAUUGACUACCUCUAACAUUUCUAGAUCUCAUAUCAAGAUAACUUGUAGUUUUUCAAUGCAUCAUUAUGCACCAAAACAUAUAGUUUCUACGGCUUCAAAUUUGCGUCAUAUCAUGCACAAAAUUUCCAGCUAUAUCUCUCAAACUAUAUUUUUAUGCCGUUCAGAGCAUCUUUAUGGGAGUACUAUACUUAAAAACCUCCCAUACAAUGGUGGUUAUUGACUUAAUUCAAUCAAAUGAAUCAUAAGAUUUGCAAAUCUAGUAUAACAAGAUUUCAUUAGUAAAUGGAUGAAAACCAUCAAAGUUUUAUGCAGAAAAGCAAAUCAGAAACAUUCAAUAAAAAACCUAAACCACAAAAGUAAGAAAACAAGUUGAAAAUCACUAACUGCUGCAUGAAAGGAAGGUUGCCCUGAGGAAAGCUGUACCUGGCACAUUUGAGAGACUUCUGAAAUAUUACGGACUGGAAGUCUUAAAUUGCGCUGAUCCUGUUGCUGCAGAUCUAACUUUUCCAAUUUCUUUUCAUAAAGUGCAAAUUCCUCAGGCUUCUCCCACUGGUUGCAAGUUUUCAGGCAUCCACGUAUUAUGAGGGGCA